CAGUAGCCGCGGGAACACGUAGGGUGCAAGCGUUAAUCGGAAUUACUGGGCGUAAAGCGUGCGCAGGCGGUUUUGUAAGACAGAGGUGAAAUCCCCGGGCUCAACCUGGGAACUGCCUUUGUGACUGCAAGGCUAGAGUACGGCAGAGGGGGAUGGAAUUCCGCGUGUAGCAGUGAAAUGCGUAGAUAUGCGGAGGAACACCGAUGGCGAAGGCAAUCCCCUGGGCCUGUACUGACGCUCAUGCACGAAAGCGUGGGGAGCAAACAGGAUUAGAUACCCCGGUAGUCCCUGUCUCUUAUAC
RNAcentral lists this ribosomal RNA (301 nucleotides) under uncultured bacterium. RNAcentral's name for it is "partial 16S ribosomal RNA". It matches the Rfam family "Bacterial small subunit ribosomal RNA", at positions 509 to 807 of the family's 1533-position model. The record is from RNAcentral.